GGGUUCAGAUAAAAAUCGGCAGCCGGCAGCAGGAAGUGGCUGCCAUUGACAGCCUGAAGGUAGGAGGGACCUGACAGUCGUUAACAGCCAAUCAAUAUCGACCAACGUGAACUCAACCAAUCACAUAUAACUACAACAGCAGCCAUUGCAUGCUUUAGUAAUGGCAGCGAUUGAUCGAGCACCGGUAAGUUUUAAACGGAGUAAUGAAUGUAAGUUUGAUUUUAACUGUUAUCUUAGUAAACGAUAGUGUAACUUUGCCUAUUUUAGUUUAAACGUUAAAUUUAUUCCAAUUCGUGUUAGAAACGUAGUUUGUGUACCAUGUUACAUCAUAAUUGUUGCUGUAUGUUAGGGGGCUAAUAACGUACUUCAAAUAUAACGUUUACGAUUAAAUAUUAACGUUUGUUAACUUGUUAACAAGAGUCUACUGAAUAAUAUAAAAUGAAUGUUGUUUGACUGGAUGUAUAGAAGAUAUACAAGUGCAACACUGUUCAUACUUUUGUGUUUAAUUUUUCAAGUGAUUGUGUGAUAUCCAUCAACUUAUUGAUUUUUUUCUUUUACUAUAACAAUUGACAAAACGGUUAUUUUAACAACUACUCUUCUAUUUCUGCCUUCACCUUUUGUGUAUCUGACUAUCAGUUAUGACAGGUAAGAAGCCAUUACAUUUCCAAAAUCUUACUAACUUAAGUGAAUUAAUUUUUGUUUUGUUUGUUUGUUUUUAUUUUUAGGAAGAAGCAGUGCACAUCAACCAUGUUGGAAGCAUUCAAGGAUGAGACAAAAUGGCAGGAGAAAGAAGUGCAGAACAUCAGAGUACAUCUUGAACAUCUUGAUGUUGCCAGAUGCUGUCCUGUCAGAAGUUCUUCUUCACGUGGUCCUGGAGGAGGGUGAUGCUGCUGCAUUGUUAAAUCUCUCUUUGGUUGGUUCCAAAUUCAGAAGUCUGGUGGACAGGCACACUUCUGCUGGCUUGAUGGUGUAACUAAAUGGAGUACAAAGUCUGAGCCAUCCCAGGACCUUUAGAAAAUGUAUACACUUCAGCCAACACUGCAAUGAAGUGUACAAUAACUGCUUACCAGGUUAUGUUGGAAGAGGAAAACUAGGAGAGAUGCAAGGCUUUUACUCCGAAAACACCCAUCCAGGGGUUUGCAUUGAGUGGUGCAUGAUGCUACAGGAGGAAUAACUCUGUAUAACACAUCAGUUCUGUUCUGAAAGUCUUGUAAAUACCUCCAGGAUUGUUGUUCGUGAUUCUGAUUUCUGACAUCUACUAGGGAGUGCCCCUAAUAUUAUGUGUAUAUGUUUAUGAAGAAGUUUCUUUGUCUCAAAUCAUGCAAUCAUGCUCUUCUGCAAAUCAUGCACCAAAGGGUACUGUAUUUCUUAUGUUUUAUAUCUUAAGGACCACAAUGGAUAUAAGCCUAUGGGCUUUUUGUAUUUUUAUCUUUUUGAACACUUCAUGUUGAUUGUUGUUCAAUAAAGUAUUUAAUCAAUUCAAUCAAUCAUAAUCUUUCUUUCUAAUACAUGUAUCCAAAGCUUUCUACUCUAAUUAACUUUUUAAUACAAAACUGUAUAUGUGUCUUUUAUUAAACAAUAUAAUAUAUAUUCUCAACUCUUAAUACUUUACAUUAAAGCAACACUUGGAGUAUAAAAUAACAACACCGGUUUCUAAUGUUCUGAAGGAUUGCAUAUUAAAUUGGUUAUAAUACUUAGCUUAUAAAGUUUGGAUAAUUUGCAUAUUACACAACGUGUUAAUGUGCCUGUUUCUUGAGUUACUAAUGUAAAAAAAACAAGCAAAAUAAAAAUAUUUAAAAUAAAGGUCAUUGGUGAGACCUGUCUCUCUUUGUCAUUUAGGCGUGUGUGUUUGGCCUGUAAAAUAAAUAUACAACAUACAGUACAUCUAGUGGGAAGUGCCUCAUAUAAAUAUGAAUUCAUUUAUCUAGGUGUUUUUGUGCAUCUCUUUCAUUACUUCACACAAACAUUGAUUUAGACGCAUAUGCAUACAUAAAUAUUCAGCUGGAAUUUAACGUUUGGCCAAAUUCUCUUUUUCUUUGUUUAAAUUCAAUAAACCUUUUUAAUCCGAAAAUACUGACAUUUAUACUUAUUUAAAUAAGUAUUAGAAAUUAUAAUUAUUUGUCUUGGUGCCGCUGACAGCCUCCUCUUUAUUCCGGUUUUAGUGUUUGUG
Molecule: non-coding RNA, 2170 nt
Organism: Paramisgurnus dabryanus
Lineage: Eukaryota; Metazoa; Chordata; Actinopteri; Cypriniformes; Cobitidae
Source: RefSeq, a predicted model, not a curated record